GACGAACGCUGGCGGCGUGCCUAAUACAUGCAAGUAGAACGCACAGUUUAUACCGUAGCUUGCUACACCAUAGACUGUGAGUUGCGAACGGGUGAGUAACGCGUAGGUAACCUGCCUGGUAGCGGGGGAUAACUAUUGGAAACGAUAGCUAAUACCGCAUAAUAUUGAUUAUUGCAUGAUAAUUAAUUGAAAGGUGCAAUUGCACCACUACCAGAUGGACCUGCGUUGUAUUAGCUAGUAGGUGAGGUAACGGCUCACCUAGGCGACGAUACAUAGCCGACCUGAGAGGGUGAUCGGCCACACUGGGACUGAGACACGGCCCAGAAUCCUACGGGAGGCAGCAGUAGGGAAUCUUCGGCAAUGGACGAAAGUCUGACCGAGCAACGCCGCGUGAGUGAAGAAGGUUUUCGGAUCGUAAAGCUCUGUUGUAAGAGAAGAACGGGUGUGAGAGUGGAAAGUUCACACUGUGACGGUAUCUUACCAGAAAGGGACGGCUAACUACGUG
Molecule: ribosomal RNA, 505 nt
Filed under: uncultured bacterium
Lineage: Bacteria
Description: partial 16S ribosomal RNA
Rfam family: Bacterial small subunit ribosomal RNA
Source: RNAcentral